UCUUGUUAUUCAACUAUGCCAAGAUAAAUUCAAUUUUCAAUUCGAUGGCACCUUUAACAUUCUUUUCACAUUUUUCUUCUUCUAAAAGCAUUGAUAAUGUCUUGCAAUUUUUGUUGUUGUCAUUUUUUGUUUAGAUCAUAGCAUAUCAUAUCUCUCAAGGUGAAGCAGAGGUUUUUUGUGAGGAUAACAGUAUCAGUAUUGCAGUAAGCAAAGCCGUGAAGGGGAUUGAUCAAAACUGGCUCCAGCUGAGAGACCCCACCUGCUCUCUUACUUCCAAUGACACACAUAUCCUGGGCACCUGUGUCCCUCAACACCUGUGGUACCACGAUGGAGACUCAGGAGACUUCAUGGUCUUCAAAAAUUGUUCUACUGACAAUAACUUCAGCAAUCCAGUGAUCCCAGUCUGUAUCCACUGGAGAUAAAUUUGCUGGAUAUGCUCUGGGUAUUGCAGCCUAUUCUGCUCUCCCUGAGGUCCAGCUCUUUGUGGAGUCUUGCAGGGCCACUCUAGAUGACAACCCAUACACUUCCCAUUUUUAUGACAUCAUCAAAGAAGGGUGCAUUGUGGAUGACACAGUUGAGGUUUAUCAUAGUGAUGUUAGAGCGUAUGACUUUGGGAUCCAAGCUUUCAAGUUCACAGGCGGCUACAAUGAGGUGUACAUUACCUGCUCUGGUAUUCUGUGUGCGGAAGAAAGCUCAAAUUCCAGAUGAUUAGCCAUUGUUAGUCAAGGCUGCCUCAGAGAUCUCGCACGCAAACGCAAACGAGAUCAUCAGAAAAUGGUGGUUCUCUUCAUAUCAGUGCAGGCAUCGCAGUCUUCACAGGACUCUUUAUUGUCUCCAUUGUGGUGCUGGUUGGAAUGUGGGUAUACAACGGCAAAAAAACAAGAGAAACUGACCGCAUGUAUCUGAUGUCCAGCUUCUGAAAAACAUAUAAACAUAAUACAUGAAUGUCCAAUUCAGUUCAUGAAACCUCUAUGUUUAUGUUAAUGAAAAAUAUAAUUCAAAUGUGGUGAAAUCUGCAAUUCUUUCUAACAGACAUUGUACAUCUCUAAAAGUUUCACAUACAUGAAAGGGUUUGUAUUUUAGAAACUGUUCAUAUUUUGAUAGUGUGUGUAUCAGAUUCUGUCCGAAGGUAAAGACUUUUACAGGUGCAUUACAUGAAUAAAUGAAUAGCUUAGAAAAAUAAAUAUCAGCAGCAUAAUUGCCUUUGCCUAGUACUUUACUCUUUUCAACUCUUUUUCAUCUUGUUUUAAACAUUAGUUUAGAAUCAUCCAGUAACUUGAUGUAAUGUUGUUGCCUAUAAGUGUCACGGCUACACAACCUGCACCUUCAGACACGGACACUUACGCCACGCCCACUCGUUCACAAUCACCGGAAUACUGAACACCUGUGCAUCAUCACCAGAGCCACAUAUAAGCACACCAGUCCCGUUCACUCAUUGUCUGGUCUUGCACCGAUCCCUACACGUCACUCGACCUCGUCUUACCUGAACUUUGUACCUACCUGUUGUCUUCAUCUCCAGUCCUGAGUUCCCCGUCAUCAUCUGUGUCUUCAUCGUCAUCUGCCAAGGAAAGUUAUCAUUGUUAUACCUAUUGUCUGUUCUACGUGUCAAGAUUCUCUACCUGUGUCAUCACCUGUGUCUGAAACCUCUGUCAAUAAACACUGUUGCACUUAC
Megalobrama amblycephala (Wuchang bream) is the source of this 1672-nucleotide long non-coding RNA. RefSeq lists it as uncharacterized. The record is from RefSeq and is a predicted model, not a curated record. Lineage: Eukaryota; Metazoa; Chordata; Actinopteri; Cypriniformes; Xenocyprididae. The transcript is spliced from 5 exons.